RNAcentral lists this ribosomal RNA (460 nucleotides) under uncultured bacterium. Its description in RNAcentral is "partial 16S ribosomal RNA". It matches the Rfam family "Bacterial small subunit ribosomal RNA", at positions 338 to 795 of the family's 1533-position model. The record is from RNAcentral.
CCUACGGGAUGCAGCAGUGAGGAAUAUUGGUCAAUGGACGCAAGUCUGAACCAGCCAUGCCGCGUGCAGGAAGACGGCUCUAUGAGUUGUAAACUGCUUUUGUACGAGGGUAAACGCAGAUACGCGUAUCUGUCUGAAAGUAUCGUAAGAAUAAGGAUCGGCUAACUCCGUGCCAGCAGCCGCGGUAAUACGGAGGAUUCAAGCGUUAGCCGGAUUUAUUGGGUUUAAAGGGUGGGUAGGCGGUCGGAUAAGUUAGAGGUUAAAUCCCGAGGCUCAACUUCGGAAUUGCCUCUGAUACUGUUCGGGUGGAGAGUAGUUGCGGUAGGCGGAAGGUGUGGUGGAGCGGUGAAAUGCUUAGAGAUCAUACAGAACACCGAUUGCGAAGGCAGCUUACCAGGCUACUUCUGACGUUGAGGCACGAAAGCGUGGGGAGCAAACAGGAUUAGAUACCCGGGUAGUC